This 410-nucleotide long non-coding RNA is filed under the name Homo sapiens (human). RNAcentral describes it as "non-protein coding lnc-C1QTNF5-3:1". The record is from RNAcentral. Lineage: Eukaryota; Metazoa; Chordata; Mammalia; Primates; Hominidae.
GCUCCAGCUGCUUCCUGGACAUGAACGGUUCAUGGGUAUCCCACUGGUGCUUCCUACACAAUAUGUCCAAAGUCAAACUUGGCAAACGUGCUGUGCCUGCACUGCGUGCAAUUAACUGGCCAGUUUUCCACACCAAGAAGCAUGUAAAGUCCUUCUCAGAGUUGGCAGGAUCCUCUAAGAGAGAAUUUCCAUUCGUUUAGGACCAAGACCUCCCCUUUGAGUGAUUUGAGACUCACUAAUCCAAAGCCCUCUUUAAUGAGCCACAACCCUUGACUCCCAGGAAACCUAGCAGGUAAUCCUGCUUUGGGCAGGGACAAAGACUCCAACUGGCUUUGGGGAGGCAGUUCAAAUUGUUUGACAAUGUUAGUCCCAGGGAUUGAGAAGAAAAUAAGCCAGAUAUUGAGAAAGCU